GGGCGACCUAUCCGGGGGUCGGGCAUAGCCCGUCGAGAGACGGGGUAACUCCCGAUGACGUCGCAUGACCAAAGGUCCGCCGCCCCCGGCGGGGCCCGCGCGGUAUUAGCUGGUUGGUGGGGUGACGGCCCACCAAGGCGUAGAUGCCUGGCGGGUGUGAGAGCACGACCCGCGCCACUGGCACUGAGACACUGGCCAGACACCUACGGGUGGCUGCAGUCGAGGAUCUUCGGCAAUGCGCGAAAGCGCGACCGAGCGACGCCGCGUGCGCGACGAAGGCCUUCGGGUUGUAAAGCGCUGUCGGGGGGGGAGAAAGCCGCAUGGUUGAUCUAUCCCUGGAGGAAGCACGGGCUAAGUUCGUGCCAGCAGCCGCGGUAAGACGAACCGUGCGAACGUUGUUCGGAAUCACUGGGCUUAAAGGGCGCGUAGGCGGGCCGGACGGUCCGGGGUGAAAUCCCCCCGCUCAACGGGGGAACGGGCCCCGGGACACCGCCGGCCUCGAGGGGGGUAGGGGCGAGCGGAACGCUGGGUGGGAGCGGUGAAUGCGUUGAUAUCCAGCGGAACUCCGGUGGCGAAGGCGGCUCGCUGGACCUUUCACUGACGCUGAGGCGCGAAAGCCAGGGGAGCGAAACGGGAUUAGAUACCCCGGGUAGUCCUGGUCCCUAAACGAUGGGGACUAGGUAGUCGGCCGGCAUGGGCUGACUGCCGGAGCCAAAGUGCUAAGUCCCCCGCCUGGGGAGUAUGGCCGCAAGGCUGAAACUCAAAGGAAUUGACGGGGGCUCACACAAGCGGUGGAGCAUGUGGCUUAAUUCGAGGCUACGCGAAGAACCUUAUCCUGGGCUUGACAUGUGCGAAAGCGGGAGGAAGUACCCUCCGGAAACGGCAGGGGAACGGUACCCAGUCCGGAACCUUCCACAGGUGCUGCAUGGCUGUCGUCAGCUCGUGUCGUGAGAUGUCGGGUUAAGUCCCAUAACGAGCGAAACCCUUACCCCCAGUUGCCAGCAAACGGGACUCUGGGGGGACUGCCGGUGUCAAACCGGAGGAAGGUGGGGAUGACGUCAAGUCCUCAUGGCCUUUAUGCCCAGGGCUGCACACGUGCUACAAUGGCGUGGACAGGGGGACGCGAGCCCGCGAGGGGGAGCCAAUCCCGGAAAGCACGCCCCAGUUCAGAUCGCGGGCUGCAACUCGCCCGCGUGAAGCCGGAAUCGCUAGUAAUCGCGGGUCAGCAACACCGCGGUGAAUGUGUUCCUGAGCCUUGUACACACCGCCCGUCAAGCCACGAAAGGGGGGAGCGCCCGAAGUCGCCUUCACCGGCGCCGAAGGCGAACCCCCUUUUGGACUAAGUCGUAACAAGGUAACC
This 1360-nucleotide ribosomal RNA is filed under the name uncultured bacterium. RNAcentral describes it as "16S ribosomal RNA". It matches the Rfam family "Bacterial small subunit ribosomal RNA". The record is from RNAcentral.